RNAcentral lists this ribosomal RNA (1216 nucleotides) under Phytalmia alcicornis. RNAcentral describes it as "partial 16S ribosomal RNA". The record is from RNAcentral. Lineage: Eukaryota; Metazoa; Arthropoda; Insecta; Diptera; Tephritidae.
GCAAAUCAAUAUAAAUUGAUUUAUUAUUUAUUUAUUAAUUUUAUUUUUUUUUGUAUUUAAUUUAUUAAAAAUAAUUAUAUAAUUUAAUGUUUUAGUAAUUUUUAAAGAAAAAAUAAAUAUAAUGAUAGUGUAUUAUGUAUUGUGAAAGAUUAUUGAAAUAAUUUGAAAAAUUUUUAUUUUAUAAGAAGUUUUCGUUUAACGUACCUUGUGUGUCAGGGUUUAUCUAAUAAUUAAUAAUUAUUUAUUAAUCUCGAUUUUAUAAGAGUUAAUAAUUUAUAAAAGUUAAUGUAUCAAAAUUAUUUUUAAUAAAUUAUUAGAAAUGAAAUGUUAUUCGUUUAUAAAGGUAUCUAGUUUUUUUAGAAAUAAAUUUAAUUUACAAAUUUUUAAUUUUUUCUUUUUUUAUAUUAAAGUAAAAAUUUAUUAAUUUGAAUAUUUUAAGGGAUAAGCUUUAAAAUAAAGUAUUAAAAAUUAAUAAUUAUUAUUUAAAAUGUAUGUGUAGAAUUAGCAAUCAUUUAUAAGUUUGUUAUAAAUUAUUUUUAUAAUUUAUAUUAUUUAUUAAAUUUUAAUUUAUUUAUAAAAAUUUUUUCAAUAAUUUUUUAGAAAAAUAAUAAUGAUAGAAUUAGUAUAUAUUUAUUGUCAAAUAUGUUUUUAUGUAAAGUUUAUAUAAAGAACUCGGCAAAUAUUUUAUGCCCGCCUGUUUAACAAAAACAUGUCUUUUUGAGUUAAUUUUAAAGUCUAACCUGCCCAAUGAAUAAUUUUUGAAUGGCCGCAGUAUUCUAACUGUGCAAAGGUAGCAUAAUCAUUAGUCUUUUAAUUGAAGGCUGGUAUGAACGGUUGGACGAGGUAUAAGCUGUUUCAUAUAAAUUUAUUAUAGAAUUUUAUAUUUUAGUUAAAAAGCUAAAAUUUUAUUAAAAGACGAGAAGACCCUAUAAAUCUCUAUAUUUUAUUUUAUAUAAAUUUUAUGGAUUAAUUUUAUUUUUAUAUGAUAAUAUAUUUUGUUGGGGUGAUAUUAAAAUUUAAUGAACUUUUAAUUUUAAUAAAUCAUUAAUUUAUGAUUAAUUGAUCCGUUAAUAACGAUUAUAAGAUUAAGUUACUUUAGGGAUAACAGCGUAAUUUUUUUGGAGAGUUCUUAUCGAUAAAAAAGUUUGCGACCUCGAUGUUGGAUUAAGAUAUAUUUUUAGGUGUAGCCGCUUAAAUGUUAAGUCUGUUCGACUUU